This 314-nucleotide unclassified non-coding RNA is filed under the name plant metagenome. Its description in RNAcentral is "partial contains 5.8S ribosomal RNA, internal transcribed spacer 2, and large subunit ribosomal RNA". The stretch from base 1 to 105 matches the Rfam family "5.8S ribosomal RNA", at positions 50 to 154 of the family's 154-position model. The record is from RNAcentral.
GAAAUGCGAUAAUUAAUGUGAAUUGCAGAAUUCAGUGAAUCAUCGAGUCUUUGAACGCACAUUGCGCCCCCUGGUAUUCCGGGGGGCAUGCCUGUCCGAGCGUCAUUGCUGCCCUCAAGCACGGCUUGUGUGAUGGGCUUCCGUCCCUGGCAACGGGGACGGGCCCAAAAGGCAGUGGCGGCACCAUGUCUGGUCCUCGAGCGUAUGGGGCUUUGUCACCCGCUCCCGUAGGUCCAGCUGGCAGCUAGCCUCGCAACCAAUCUUUUUAACCAGGUUGACCUCGGAUCAGGUAGGGAUACCCGCUGAACUUAAGC